UGGGGCUGACCUCUCUGAAGCAAUAGGGC
This 29-nucleotide non-coding RNA is filed under the name Mus musculus (house mouse). Lineage: Eukaryota; Metazoa; Chordata; Mammalia; Rodentia; Muridae. The record is from RNAcentral.